Long non-coding RNA from Myotis brandtii (Brandt's bat), 111 nucleotides. RefSeq lists it as uncharacterized. The record is from RefSeq and is a predicted model, not a curated record. NCBI's taxonomy places the organism in Eukaryota, Metazoa, Chordata, Mammalia, Chiroptera, Vespertilionidae. The transcript is spliced from 5 exons.
UGAAGGAAAGAAAACUACUGGAUAUAGAAUCCAAAACCACACUUAUAAGGUUUUUCAAGAAUUUUCUAGAAACCACUGAUAAAUUUAGUGAGUGCCUCAAUAAGUAUAGUU